AACUUUUGGCAACGGAUCACUUGGUUCCGGCAUCGAUGAAGAACGCAGCGAAAUGCGAUAAGUAAUGUGAAUUGCAGAAUUCCGUGAAUCAUCGAAUCUUUGAACGCAUAUUGCGCCCUCUGGUAUUCCGGAGGGCAUGCCUGUCCGAGCGUCAUUACUACCUUCAAGCACGGCUUGGUUGUUGAGCCAAUUGUCCUUUUGAUGGACAGGCUUAAAAUCCAGUGGCGAUGCCGAGUCCUGGUGCCCGAGCGUAUGGAGCUUUGUCACACGCUUUAGUGGUCCAGCCGGCAUUUUCGUCGAUUUAAGCUUAAAAAAUCUAAGAUUUGACCUCGGAUCAGGUAAGGAUACCCGCUGAACUUAAGCAUAUCAAUAAGCGGAGGCU
Molecule: unclassified non-coding RNA, 382 nt
Filed under: uncultured Eurotiomycetes
Lineage: Eukaryota; Fungi; Ascomycota; Eurotiomycetes
Description: sequence contains ITS2
Rfam family: 5.8S ribosomal RNA (bases 1-154)
Source: RNAcentral